CUGGGAAAAGCAGUAGAUACUAUCUGUGCUAGAGGGUGGAAGAGAGAAGUGGAAUUCUUGAGUAGCGGUAAAAUCGUAGAUCUCAAGAGGACACCGAUGGCGAAGGCAGCUUCUUGGUCCAUUCUGACGCUAUGCACGAAAGCGUGGGGAGCAAACAGGAUUAGAUACCCUGGUAGUCCACGCUGUAAACGAUGAUCACUGGACGUUAUCUUUCUUGCAAGGAUAGUGUCGUAGCUAACGCGUUAAGUGAUCCGCCUGGGAAGUACGGUCGCAAGAUUAAAAACUUAAAGGAAUUGACGGGGGUCCGCACAAGCGGUGGAACAUGUGGUUUAAUUCGACACUACGCGAGGAACCUUACCUAGGUUUGACAUGUAUAUGACCGCUGCAGAGACGCAGUUUUCUAGGGUUUACUCUAGACAUAUACACAGGUGCUGCAUGGCUGUCGUCAGCUCGUGUCGUGAGAUGUUGGGUUAAGUCCUAUAACGAGCGCAACCCUUGCCAUCAGUUGCGAUCUCGCAAGAGAGCACUCUGAUGGGGCUGCCUGGGAAACCAGGAGGAAGGUGGGGAUGAUGUCAAGUCAGCAUGGUCCUUAUGCCUAGGGCCACACACGUGUUACAAUGGCCAAUACAAAGGGCUGCAAAACCGUAAGGUGAAGCUAAUCCCAUAAAGUUGGUCUAAGUUCGGAUUGAGGUCUGCAACUCGACCUCAUGAAGUUGAAAUCGCUAGUAAUCGCAUAUCAGAACGAUGCGGUGAAUACGUUCUCGGACCUUGUACACCCUGCCCGUCACAUCAUGAAAGCUGUUUGUACCCGAAAUCAUUUUAGCUAACUCGUAAGAGGGGCGGAUGCUGAAGGUAUGGGGAGUGAUUGGGAUGAAGUCGUAACAAGGUAACCA
RNAcentral lists this ribosomal RNA (893 nucleotides) under uncultured Gammaproteobacteria bacterium. RNAcentral describes it as "bacterial SSU rRNA". It matches the Rfam family "Bacterial small subunit ribosomal RNA", at positions 614 to 1502 of the family's 1533-position model. Lineage: Bacteria; Pseudomonadati; Pseudomonadota; Gammaproteobacteria. The record is from RNAcentral.